Molecule: non-coding RNA, 56 nt
Filed under: unclassified sequences
Description: Na+-I sequence
Rfam family: Na+ riboswitch aptamer (DUF1646)
About the family: Proteobacteria, NC10, Acidobacteria, Verrucomicrobia. Lineage (Clostridia) The riboswitch of Na+ was first reported in a comparative analysis of intergenic regions and called DUF1646 RNA, it was also suggested that it acts as cis-reg RNA present upstream of Na+ genes. Afterward it was reported as a riboswitch that selectively senses Na+.
Source: Rfam by way of RNAcentral
GGUUGGGUGAAUUAUUAGUUCACUUUCAAGAGAUUGGACUUCUGGGGUGGGAAGCU